Long non-coding RNA from Gasterosteus aculeatus aculeatus (three-spined stickleback), 563 nucleotides. Lineage: Eukaryota; Metazoa; Chordata; Actinopteri; Perciformes; Gasterosteidae. The record is from Ensembl.
GGGGAAAGUGACAGCACCCUGUGGUUUCCUUUCCAUCGACUCACACUCAUAUGACCUUACUCAGGCAGCCGGCGGAAAAAAAAAUCUGGGUUUCUAAAACCCUCAGCUCGUUUGCUGCAACAGUAAACACUGACAAAACUGUCAGAGACAGAGACUCAAUGUCGGAAGGAAAAAUUGAAGGGAAGGAGACGUGGAUGAAGGGAAAAAUGGGAUUAGGACUUGCGUAAAAGGAUGAAGUGACGGAUGAGGAGGACGGGUAAAACAGAGGGGAAUCGGCAAGGGCGGAGGGGACACAGAAGUGGAAAGGAAGGAAUCAGGGACGGAAAGAGGCAGAGAAGAUGGUCUGACCAUCCAAUGCAGGGCUGUGUUUAGGGACACCUCUGGGACAUUACAGAUGGCUGGGCAACAGUUGAGCGAGGGAAAAGGGAAGUACUUCUCUUACAAAAUGGUGACACCAAAUUUUGGACGAUCUGCAAAAUAAUUGAAAUCCGACCAUACAGACACGAAACCGAGUGCCACUGUUUGUCUUUGGACUUCUAUGUGCUCUGAUUUUUAAACGCAAG